GGGGUUGUGGCUCAGUGGUAGAGCACUCUCAUAGCAUGGGAGAGGUACUGGGUUCGAUCCUCAGCACCACA
Molecule: transfer RNA, 71 nt
Filed under: Marmota monax (woodchuck)
Lineage: Eukaryota; Metazoa; Chordata; Mammalia; Rodentia; Sciuridae
Description: tRNA.Ala
Rfam family: tRNA
About the family: Transfer RNA (tRNA) molecules are approximately 80 nucleotides in length.
Source: RNAcentral